RNAcentral lists this non-coding RNA (157 nucleotides) under Candidatus Atribacteria bacterium. Its description in RNAcentral is "6S RNA". It matches the Rfam family "6S / SsrS RNA". Rfam says of the family: E. coli 6S RNA was the first non coding RNA to be sequenced, but its function was unknown until recently. Lineage: Bacteria; Pseudomonadati; Atribacterota; Atribacteria. RNAcentral also lists the same sequence under 2 other names. The record is from RNAcentral.
AUGGCCCUGCUUUGUUGGUGAUGUCAGAGAAGGCUUUGAACCAACAUCCUUGUCUUGGGAGCCUGUUCGCUAAUUGAGCCGUGGUUCAGUUGGGAGGGCACCCACCUUUUUGAGGGCGAGGAUCAAAGCGGUUGGCACACGGCAAAGCGGGGCCGUU